Molecule: ribosomal RNA, 451 nt
Filed under: uncultured bacterium
Lineage: Bacteria
Description: bacterial SSU rRNA
Rfam family: Bacterial small subunit ribosomal RNA
Source: RNAcentral
CAAGUCGAGCGGACCCUUCGGGGUUAGCGGCGGACGGGUGAGUAACACGUGGGUAAUCUGCCCAACUGACUGGAAUAACGCCUGGAAACGGGUGCUAAUGCCGGAUAGGCAACUGGUAGGCAUCUACCGGUUGGGAAAGGUGCAACUGCACCGCAGAUGGAGGAGCCCGCGGCGCAUUAGCUAGUUGGUGGGGUAACGGCCUACCAAGGCGACGAUGCGUAGCCGACCUGAGAGGGUGGACGGCCACACUGGGACUGAGACACGGCCCAGACUCCUACGGGAGGCAGCAGUAGGGAAUCUUCCGCAAUGGGCGCAAGCCUGACGGAGCAACACCGCGUGAGCGAAGAAGGCCUUCGGGUUGUAAAGCUCAGUCACUCGGGAAGAGCGGACGAGGGAGUGGAAAGCCCUCGUCGAGACGGUACCGAGAGAGGAAGCCCCGGCUAACUACGUG